UCGAGGGGUAUAGGUUUUCGGACCUAGAGACCGGCGCACGGGUGCGUAACGCGUAUGCAAUCUACCUUUCACAGAGGGAUAGCCCAGAGAAAUUUGGAUUAAUACCUCAUAGUAUAAUGAGUUGGCAUCAACACAUUAUUAAAGUCACAACGGUGAAAGAUGAGCAUGCGUCCCAUUAGCUUGUUGGUAAGGUAACGGCUUACCAAGGCUACGAUGGGUAGGGGUCCUGAGAGGGAGAUCCCCCACACUGGUACUGAGACACGGACCAGACUCCUACGGGAGGCAGCAGUGAGGAAUAUUGGACAAUGGGCGCAAGCCUGAUCCAGCCAUGCCGCGUGCAGGAUGACGGUCCUAUGGAUUGUAAACUGCUUUUGCACAGGAAGAAACAACUCUACGUGUAGAGUCUUGACGGUACUGUGAGAAUAAGGAUCGGCUAACUCCGUGCCAGCAGCCGCGGUAAUACGGAGGAUCCAAGCGUUAUCCGGAAUCAUUGGGUUUAAAGGGUCCGUAGGCGGUUUAGUAAGUCAGUGGUGAAAGCCCAUCGCUCAACGGUGGAACGGCCAUUGAUACUGCUAAACUUGAAUUAUUAGGAAGUAACUAGAAUAUGUAGUGUAGCGGUGAAAUGCUUAGAGAUUACAUGGAAUACCAAUUGCG
Molecule: ribosomal RNA, 654 nt
Filed under: uncultured Bacteroidota bacterium
Lineage: Bacteria; Pseudomonadati; Bacteroidota
Description: bacterial SSU rRNA
Rfam family: Bacterial small subunit ribosomal RNA
Source: RNAcentral